This 74-nucleotide transfer RNA is filed under the name Camelus bactrianus (Bactrian camel). It matches the Rfam family "tRNA". Rfam says of the family: Transfer RNA (tRNA) molecules are approximately 80 nucleotides in length. Their secondary structure includes four short double-helical elements and three loops (D, anti-codon, and T loops). Further hydrogen bonds mediate the characteristic L-shaped molecular structure. tRNAs have two regions of fundamental functional importance: the anti-codon, which is responsible for specific mRNA codon recognition, and the 3' end, to which the tRNAs corresponding amino acid is attached (by aminoacyl-tRNA synthetases). tRNAs cope with the degeneracy of the genetic code in two manners: having more than one tRNA (with a specific anti-codon) for a particular amino acid; and 'wobble' base-pairing, i.e. permitting non-standard base-pairing at the 3rd anti-codon position. RNAcentral also lists the same sequence under 2 other names. The record is from Rfam by way of RNAcentral. Lineage: Eukaryota; Metazoa; Chordata; Mammalia; Artiodactyla; Camelidae.
GGGGGUAGAGCUCAGUGGGAGAGCACAUGCUUAGCACACACACGAGGUCCUGGGUUCAAUCCCCAGUACUGCCA